This 25-nucleotide ribosomal RNA is filed under the name uncultured organism. Its description in RNAcentral is "partial 16S ribosomal RNA". The record is from RNAcentral.
AGGACUUGACAUGAAGAGAAGUUUU